Molecule: ribosomal RNA, 257 nt
Filed under: uncultured bacterium
Lineage: Bacteria
Description: partial 16S ribosomal RNA
Rfam family: Bacterial small subunit ribosomal RNA
Source: RNAcentral
GACGAACGCUGGCGGCGUGCCUAACACAUGCAAGUCGAACGAGUCCAGGCUUUCGGGCCUGAGGCGAGUGGCGGACGGGUGAGUAACACGUGAGCAAUCUGUCCCUGUGUGGGGACGAACCCGGGAAACCCGGGCGUAACUACCGCAUGGGCGAGGCACUUCGAUGAAGAGCCUGGAAGAGGCCCUCUUUACUAAUGGUCUCAUGCAGGGAGGAGCUCGCGGCUAUCAGCUAGUUGGUAGUGGUAACGGCCUACCAA